GAUGAACGCUGGCGGCGUGCCUAAUACAUGCAAGUCGAGCGAACGGACGAGAAGCUUGCUUCUCUGAUGUUAGCGGCGGACGGGUGAGUAACACGUGGAUAACCUACCUAUAAGACUGGGAUAACUUCGGGAAACCGGAGCUAAUACCGGAUAAUAUUUUGAACCGCAUGGUUCAAAAGUGAAAGACGGUCUUGCUGUCACUUAUAGAUGGAUCCGCGCUGCAUUAGCUAGUUGGUAAGGUAACGGCUUACCAAGGCAACGAUGCAUAGCCGACCUGAGAGGGCGAUCGGCCACACUGGAACUGAGACACGGUCCAGACUCCUACGGGAGGCAGCAGUAGGGAAUCUUCCGCAAAGGGCGAAAGCCUGACGGAGCAACGCCGCGUGAGUGAUGAAGGUCUUCGGAUCGUAAAACUCUGUUAUUAGGGAAGAACAUAUGUGUAAGUAACUGUGCACAUCUUGACGGUACCUAAUCAGAAAGCCACGGCUAACUACGUG
RNAcentral lists this ribosomal RNA (497 nucleotides) under uncultured bacterium. Its description in RNAcentral is "partial 16S ribosomal RNA". It matches the Rfam family "Bacterial small subunit ribosomal RNA", at positions 28 to 507 of the family's 1533-position model. The record is from RNAcentral.